GUGGUCCACUUGCCAUCUAUCCUGGCCGAGCAUAUCCGUGCCAGGUGCUGUUGCUGCCCUAGGCACGCCAAGGAACAGAGGAGGGCAGGUAUCUUCUGGGCAGCCUCCGGAGUCAAAUCAAGAUUUGAGGUACCCAGAGGAGCCUCAUAGCCAAAGCUUGGAAACGGCAGCACCGAAGCACACACAGAGAGCAUCUCAAUAUCCACGUGCGACCGAGGAUGGAUUUCGUCCGCUCCUCUUCCAAAAGCUAAGUGUCGGGGCCAGCGGUUGGGAGAAGGGGAGAAACCUUUACUCUCACAGGAGGCAAUCAGAUGUCAGCUUAGCGUAGAGGUCUGUAGAGGGGCGGGCUCUCUGGAAGUAAAGGGAGAGGGUUUCUCCUCAGCCUCGCCAGAGCCUUUGCCGGGCAGGGCAGUUCCGACCCAUCUCCACAUUUUCGCGUACUUUGCGUCGUCCGCCUCCCUCGCCUCGACAUCGUCACGGAUCUUUCCCCCGAGGAGCUCGCCUUCACGUCCGGAGCUACGGCCACGGUCACCCGGCAGUCGGCUUCCUUCUCUAGGCUCGGCGAGCCUCUCGAGCAACCUCUUAACUACUUCGGCACUAACUUCUUUUAACGAGUUCCAUUUCAUCAUCACGUGCUCUUGUCAUAGGGCUUUCUUUCCUUUGGCAUCAUCAGCCUCUGGCUCAUCUUGCGUUAGGAAUCUCGGGUCCCUGCGGGGACAGUGCCAGGCAGUUGCCACUUGUCUCUGUGUUAUGUCGUCCGUGUCUGUGUUAUGUCGUCCGUGUCUGUGUUAUGUCAUCUGUGUCUGUGUUAUGUCGUCCGUGUCUGUGUUAUGUAGUCUGUCCAUUGUCUUACGUGUCACAGGCCUUUGUUAUGUCUCGAUGCUUUAUUGGCACUAUUCCGUGCCACAUCUCCCGUAUUCUACUCACGUUCCUUUCCGGAUAUCCCUUAUUCCGGCAUCUUUACAUUUUUACUCUUUGAGACAGGAAUGUCUCAAAGGGACAAGAUGUUCUCAUCCAUCUUCCUUCUCACUAGCGGCUUUGGUAGUGCCUUUUUUUCCACGCCAUUCUCUUGGACUUCCUGAGGGAGCGUCUUACACCCUCCUCACGUGACUGCAGCAGUUCUAUAGGUUCCAUCUUCCCAAGGGGUAUAGGGCUCAAGAAUUCGUAUCUUCCAGAGAGCUACCUCAAGUCCUGGCUUAUACUGUAUGUGCUUACACUGUUUGUACCUAU
This is a non-coding RNA of Agelaius phoeniceus (red-winged blackbird), 1230 nucleotides long. NCBI's taxonomy places the organism in Eukaryota, Metazoa, Chordata, Aves, Passeriformes, Icteridae. The record is from RefSeq and is a predicted model, not a curated record.